This 664-nucleotide ribosomal RNA is filed under the name uncultured Geobacter sp. RNAcentral describes it as "bacterial SSU rRNA". It matches the Rfam family "Bacterial small subunit ribosomal RNA", at positions 83 to 752 of the family's 1533-position model. Lineage: Bacteria; Pseudomonadati; Thermodesulfobacteriota; Desulfuromonadia; Geobacterales; Geobacteraceae. The record is from RNAcentral.
CUCCNANGUCAGCUUUNCAACGGGUGANUACGCGUGGAUGACCUGCCCUUUAGUGGGGAACAACCAGGGGAAACUCUGGCUAAUACCGCAUAAGACCGAAAGGUGAAAGGGGGCCGCAAGGCUCUCGCUGAAGGAGGGGUCCGCGUCCGAUUAGCUAGUUGGUAGGGUAAUGGCCUACCAAGGCGACGAUCGGUAGCCGGCCUGAGAGGGUGAUCGGCCACACUGGAACUGAGACACGGUCCAGACUCCUACGGGAGGCAGUAGUGGGGAAUUUUGCGCAAUGGGCAAACGCCUGACGCAGCAACGCCGCGUGGAGGAUGAAGGUCUUUGGAUUGUAAACUCCUGUCAGCGGGGAAAAAGGGACCUGGGCUAAUACCCUAGGGACUUGAUUGUACCCGCAGAGGAAGCCCCGGCUAACUCUGUGCCAGCAGCCGCGGUAAUACAGAGGGGGCAAGCGUUAUUCGGAAUUAUNGGGCGUAAAGGGCGCGUANGCGGCUUUGCAAGUGGCGGGUGAAAUCCCUCGGCUUAACCGAGGAACUGCCUGCCAAACUGUGAGGCUUGAAACCGGGAGAAGUGAGUGGAAUUCCCAGUGUACNGUUAAAUGCGUAAAUAUNGGNAGAACCCCAGUGNCGAGGCNGCUCACUGGACCGAACUGACCUGAAGC